Molecule: ribosomal RNA, 497 nt
Filed under: uncultured bacterium
Lineage: Bacteria
Description: partial 16S ribosomal RNA
Rfam family: Bacterial small subunit ribosomal RNA
Source: RNAcentral
GAUGAACGCUGGCGGCGUGCCUAAUACAUGCAAGUCGAGCGAACGGACGAGAAGCUUGCUUUUCUGAUGUUAGCGGCGGACGGGUGAGUAACACGUGGAUAACCUACCUAUAAGACUGGGAUAACUUCGGGAAACCGGAGCUAAUACCGGAUAAUAUCUUGAACCGCAUGGUUCAAAAGUGAAAGACGGUCUUGCUGUCACUUAUAGAUGGAUCCGCGCUGCAUUAGCUAGUUGGUAAGGUAACGGCUUACCAAGGCAACGAUGCAUAGCCGACCUGAGAGGGUGAUAGGCCACACGGGAACUGAGACACGGUCCAGACGCCUACGGGAGGCCGCAGUAGGGAAUCUGCCGCAAUGGGCGAAAGCCUGACGGAGCAACGCCGCGUGAGUGAUGAAGGUCUUCGGAUCGUAAAACUCUGUUAUUAGGGAAGAACAUAUGUGUAAGUAACUGUGCACAUCUUGACGGUACCUAAUCAGAAAGCCACGGCUAACUACGUG